UUGAACGCUGUCGACAGGCCUAACACAUGCAAGUCGAGCGGUAACACAAGGGAGCUUGCUCCUGAGGUGACGAGCGGCGGACGGGUGAGUAAUGCCUAGGUAUCUGCCCAGUCGAGGGGGAUAACAGUUGGAAACGACUGCUAAUACCGCAUACGCCCUACGGGGGAAAGGAGGGGACCUUCGGGCCUUCUGCGAUUGGAUGAACCUAGGUGGGAUUAGCUAGUUGGUGAGGUAAUGGCUCACCAAGGCGACGAUCCCUAGCUGGUCUGAGAGGAUGAUCAGCCACACUGGAACUGAGACACGGUCCAGACUCCUACGGGAGGCAGCAGUGGGGAAUAUUGCACAAUGGGCGAAAGCCUGAUGCAGCCAUGCCGCGUGUGUGAAGAAGGCCUUCGGGUUGUAAAGCACUUUCAGCGAGGAGGAAAGGUUAGUGAUUAAUACUCAUUAGCUGUGACGUUACUCGCAGAAGAAGCACCGGCUAACUUCGUGCCAGCAGCCGCGGUAAUACGAGGGGUGCAAGCGUUAAUCGGAAUUACUGGGCGUAAAGCGUACGCAGGCGGUUUGUUAAGCGAGAUGUGAAAGCCCCGGGCUCAACCUGGGAACUGCAUUUCGAACUGGCAAACUAGAGUCUUGUAGAGGGGGGUAGAAUUUCAGGUGUAGCGGUGAAA
Molecule: ribosomal RNA, 668 nt
Filed under: Shewanella sp. HM12-112
Lineage: Bacteria; Pseudomonadati; Pseudomonadota; Gammaproteobacteria; Alteromonadales; Shewanellaceae
Description: bacterial SSU rRNA
Rfam family: Bacterial small subunit ribosomal RNA
Source: RNAcentral